UUGAUACUGAUAGUGUGUAUCAAUGUUAUUAUGUGUUUAUUACAUUCUUACGAAAGUAUUCCCUACUAAAUUAAGUUGAUAAAAUGGACAGUUGUCUUUCAUUUUUUAUGUUGAGAAUCACAACAAUCCCUUUUCCUACAUUU
Vicia villosa (hairy vetch) is the source of this 143-nucleotide small nucleolar RNA. RefSeq annotates it as small nucleolar RNA snoR135. The record is from RefSeq and is a predicted model, not a curated record. Lineage: Eukaryota; Viridiplantae; Streptophyta; Magnoliopsida; Fabales; Fabaceae. The transcript has a single exon.